GAUGAACGCUAGCGGCAGGCUUAACACAUGCAAGUCGAGGGGUAUAGUAGCAAUACUAGAGACCGGCGCGCGGGUGCGUAACGCGUAUGCAAUCUACCUUUUACAGAGGGAUAGCCCAGAGAAAUUUGGAUUAAUACCUCAUAGUAUAACGACCUGACAUCAGGAUGUUAUUAAAGUCACAACGGUAAAGAUGAGCAUGCGUCCCAUUAGCUUGUUGGAAGGUAACGGCUUACCAA
This 236-nucleotide ribosomal RNA is filed under the name uncultured bacterium. Its description in RNAcentral is "partial 16S ribosomal RNA". It matches the Rfam family "Bacterial small subunit ribosomal RNA", at positions 28 to 271 of the family's 1533-position model. The record is from RNAcentral.